GGGCAUAUAGCUCAGUUGGUUAGAGUGCUUGCUUGACAUGCAAGAGGUCCGUGGUUCGAAUCCACGUAUGCCCA
Molecule: transfer RNA, 74 nt
Filed under: Candidatus Termititenax dinenymphae
Lineage: Bacteria; Bacillati; Candidatus Margulisiibacteriota; Candidatus Termititenacia; Candidatus Termititenacales; Candidatus Termititenacaceae
Rfam family: tRNA
About the family: Transfer RNA (tRNA) molecules are approximately 80 nucleotides in length. Their secondary structure includes four short double-helical elements and three loops (D, anti-codon, and T loops).
Source: Rfam by way of RNAcentral